UGAAUGCCGUGUAAUGGUGAA
This 21-nucleotide non-coding RNA is filed under the name Caenorhabditis elegans. The record is from RNAcentral. Lineage: Eukaryota; Metazoa; Nematoda; Chromadorea; Rhabditida; Rhabditidae.